GUGCCAGCAGCCGCGGUAAGACGUAGGAUGCGAGCGUUGUCCGGAUUUAUUGGGCGUAAAGAGUUCGUAGGUGGUUUGUUAAGUCUGAUGUUAAAGAUUGGGGCUCAACCCUGAAACUGCAUUGGAUACUGGCAGACUUGAGUGUGGUAGAGGCUAGUGGAAUUCCCAGUGUAGCGGUGAAAUGCGUAGAUAUUGGGAAGAACACCGGUGGCGUAGGCGACUAGCUGGGCCAUAACUGACACUGAGGAACGAAAGCCAGGGUAGCGAAUGGGAUUAGAAACCCCUGUAGUCC
Molecule: ribosomal RNA, 292 nt
Filed under: uncultured bacterium
Lineage: Bacteria
Description: partial 16S ribosomal RNA
Rfam family: Bacterial small subunit ribosomal RNA
Source: RNAcentral